UUAGUUUUCAGCUCUCAAUUAAAUGCACGAGAAAUUAUCGGUGUUUUUUCUUUCGUGUGAAAUAGUAGUCAGCAAGAAAUUUUGAAAUUUCAUAUCGCACUGUGAAUGCUAAACAGUAGAAGAAGAAAAGUGUUAAAAAAUUAAUCAAAAAAAAAAAAAUUUCUUUAAGCAAGAGUAAUUGGUGGUCCUUUUUAGUAUCUCGAAUGGAGGACGAUUUCAUCGCUACUAAAGUCAAGUUAGCCGUUGUACUAAAGUACUUGGCUUCUGGAGAUUUACAACGCCAUAUUGCCUCCUGAUACCGUAUUAGCAAGCGGCACUUUUUAAGAAUCGUGUCCGAUGUGUGUAAGGGAAUUGCAAAAUGAAAUUCCAGAGUGAACACAUUGUUGGAUACAUAUCAUUGCUUUCAAACACAAUGGAAUUUUCCGAACUA
Long non-coding RNA from Bactrocera dorsalis (oriental fruit fly), 430 nucleotides. RefSeq lists it as uncharacterized. The record is from RefSeq and is a predicted model, not a curated record. NCBI's taxonomy places the organism in Eukaryota, Metazoa, Arthropoda, Insecta, Diptera, Tephritidae. The transcript is spliced from 3 exons.